Molecule: unclassified non-coding RNA, 326 nt
Filed under: fungal sp.
Lineage: Eukaryota; Fungi
Description: partial internal transcribed spacer region
Rfam family: Eukaryotic small subunit ribosomal RNA (bases 1-46)
Source: RNAcentral
AAGUCGUAACAAGGUUUCCGUAGGUGAACCUGCGGAAGGAUCAUUAACACGUAUCCAAACGUUAAAACCCCCCCCGUGAACUUUCAAUCCUGCUCUUGUAACCCGCGUAGUUCCGCAAUCUCUGGUAAAUCAUAGCCCGGAAAGUUGUUUUGAUUCAGAGACCUCUGGCAUAGCGCUUCACGAUUCCUGUAGACCGUACACUCGGGCAGGAGCUAUGCCAAAGGGUCCCCAUGCCCCCUUACAACCCCACAGUUUAAUGUAAAGCUCAAUGUAAUACAUUGGGUAAAAAAACCGAACAACUGUUAACAAUGGAUAUCUUGGUUCUC